RNAcentral lists this ribosomal RNA (250 nucleotides) under uncultured prokaryote. RNAcentral's name for it is "partial 16S rRNA". It matches the Rfam family "Bacterial small subunit ribosomal RNA", at positions 525 to 775 of the family's 1533-position model. The record is from RNAcentral.
ACGUAGGGUGCAAGCGUUAUCCGGAAUUAUUGGGCGUAAAGAGUGCGUAGGUGGUUUUGUAAGCGCGGGGUGAAAGGCAAUGGCUCAACUAUUGUAAGCCCUGUGAACUGCAAGGCUUGAGUGCAGGAGAGGAAAGUGGAAUUCCUAGUGUAGCGGUGAAAUGCGUAGAUAUUAGGAGGAACACCAGUGGCGAAGGCGACUUUCUGGACUGUAACUGACACUGAGGCACGAAAGCGUGGGGAGCAAACAG